Molecule: ribosomal RNA, 253 nt
Filed under: uncultured bacterium
Lineage: Bacteria
Description: partial 16S ribosomal RNA
Rfam family: Bacterial small subunit ribosomal RNA
Source: RNAcentral
UACGAAGGGUGCAAGCGUUACUCGGAAUCAUUGGGCGUAAAGCGCGUGUAGGCGGUUCGGUAAGUCCGCUGUGAAAGUCGGGGGCUCAACCCUCGGAUGCCGGUGGAUACUGUCGGGCUUGAGUACGGAAGAGGCGAGUGGAAUUCCUGGUGUAGCGGUGAAAUGCGCAGAUAUCAGGAGGAACACCAAUUGCGAAGGCAGCUCGCUGGGACGUUACUGACGCUGAGACGCGAAAGCGUGGGGAGCAAACAGG